AACGAACGCUGGCGGCAUGCCUAACACAUGCAAGUCGAACGAGAUCUUCGGGUCUAGUGGCGCACGGGUGCGUAACGCGUGGGAAUCUGCCCUUGGGUUCGGAAUAACUUCGGGAAACUGAAGCUAAUACCGGAUGAUGACGUAAGUCCAAAGAUUUAUCGCCCAAGGAUGAGCCCGCGUAGGAUUAGCUAGUUGGUGAGGUAAAGGCUCACCAAGGCGACGAUCCUUAGCUGGUCUGAGAGGAUGAUCAGCCACACUGGGACUGAGACACGGCCCAGACUCCUACGGGAGGCAGCAGUGGGGAAUAUUGGACAAUGGGCGAAAGCCUGAUCCAGCAAUGCCGCGUGAGUGAUGAAGGCCUUAGGGUUGUAAAGCUCUUUUACCCGAGAUGAUAAUGACAGUAUCGGGAGAAUAAGCUCCGGCUAACUCCGUGCCAGCAGCCGCGGUAAAGUGACUACUG
Molecule: ribosomal RNA, 460 nt
Filed under: uncultured bacterium
Lineage: Bacteria
Description: bacterial SSU rRNA
Rfam family: Bacterial small subunit ribosomal RNA
Source: RNAcentral